AGAGUUUGAUUCUGGCUCAGAACGAACGCUGGCGGCGUGGAUAAGACAUGCAAGUCGAGCGAGAGCUUGCGGGUAGCAAUAUCUUCAAGUUCUAGCGGCGAAAGGGUGCGUAACACGUGGGUAAUCUACCGUGAAGUUCGGAAUAACUUGCCGAAAGGGAAGCUAAUGCCGGAUGUGAUCGCGACGGGACAUCCCGUCGAGAUUAAAGCUGGGGAUCCUUCGGGACCUGGCGUUUCACGAUGAACCCGCGGCCUAUCAGCUUGUUGGUGAGGUAACGGCUCACCAAGGCGACGACGGGUAGCUGGUCUGAGAGGACGAUCAGCCACACUGGAACUGAGACACGGUCCAGACACCUACGGGUGGCAGCAGUCGAGAAUCUUUCACAAUGGGCGAAAGCCUGAUGGAGCGACGCCGCGUGGGGAAGAAUGGCUUCGGCCCGUAAACCCCUGUCAUUCGCGAGCAAUGCUUACGUCUUAAUAGGAUGUAAGUUGAUAGUAGCGAAAGAGGAAGGGACGGCUAACUCUGUGCCAGCAGCCGCGGUAAUACAGAGGUCCCAAGCGUUGUUCGGAUUCACUGGGCGUAAAGCGUGCGUAGGUGGCCAGAUAAGUUCGGUGUGAAAGCUCCGGGCUCAACUCGGAAAGGUCAUCGAAAACUAUUUGGCUGGAGGAUUGGAUGGGAGACUGGAAUUCUCGGUGUAGCAGUGAAAUGCGUAGAUAUCGAGAGGAACAUCAGUGGCGAAGGCGAGUCUCUGGACAAUUCCUGACACUGAGGCACGAAAGCUAGGGGAGCAAACAGGAUUAGAUACCCUGGUAGUCCUAGCCGUAAACGGUGCACACUUGCUGUGGGCGGAAUCGACCCCGUCCGUGGCGUAGCUAACGCGUUAAGUGUGCCGCCUGGGGAGUACGGUCGCAAGACUAAAACUCAAAGAAAUUGACGGGGGCCUGCACAAGCGGUGGAGUAUGUGGCUUAAUUCGAUGCAACGCGAAGAACCUUACCUGGCCUUGACAUGCAAGUGGUAAAAGCCUGAAAGGGUGAUAACCCCGCAAGGGGAGCUUGCACAGGUGCUGCAUGGCUGUCGUCAGCUCGUGUCGUGAGAUGUUGGGUUAAGUCCCGCAACGAGCGCAACCCCUGUGUCCUGUUGCCACUUCCGCUAGCGCGGAAAGCACUCUGGACAGACUGCCUCGCUUAAACGAGGAGGAAGGUGGGGAUGACGUCAAGUCAGUAUGGCCCUUACGGCCAGGGCUGCACACGUACUACAAUGCCUAGUACAGAGGGCUGCGAGACCGCAAGGUGGAGCAAAUCCCUUAAAACUAGGCCCAGUUCAGAUUGUCGUCUGCAAUUCGACGGCAUGAAGCCGGAAUCGCUAGUAAUGGCGUAUCAGCUACGACGCCGUGAAUACGUUCCCAGGCCUUGUACACACCGCCCGUCACAUCAUGAAAGCCGGUUGUACCCGAAGUCGCCGUGCCAACCCUCAGGAGGCAGGCGCCGAAGGUAUGACUGGUGAUUGGGAUGAAGUCGAAACAAGGUA
RNAcentral lists this ribosomal RNA (1528 nucleotides) under metagenome. RNAcentral's name for it is "bacterial SSU rRNA". It matches the Rfam family "Bacterial small subunit ribosomal RNA". The record is from RNAcentral.